RNAcentral lists this long non-coding RNA (387 nucleotides) under Physcomitrium patens. RNAcentral's name for it is "long non-coding RNA (PPAT_LNC005239)". Lineage: Eukaryota; Viridiplantae; Streptophyta; Bryopsida; Funariales; Funariaceae. The record is from RNAcentral.
UUGUGUAAUCAUUGAUAUUUUGAGGUAAGCAUAAGUUAAUUAAAGAAGAAGUAGGAGGGGUCAAACUAUGAUAGUUAUGAAUUGAGGUAAGCUUGGUGCUAUCUCUUUGUUUCUUUGUAGUUGAAGAGUAAUGAAUAGUUUUUGAAUAAUAUGAAGUGAAAUUCUGAAAUAAAAAUGAGAUUUAAUGUUGUAUAUAAAGUAUGGAAUUUAUUGUGGAUGAAUACAAUGGAAAAUUGUAAGUGGACAAUUGGAAGUAUUAGUGAAGAAUGGAUAUGAAUGGAAGAAUUACAAUACUAAGGUUUGAGAAAGAGUCUUUGGAGUCAAGAUUUGCAUGAAGAAAAGUAGGAAGAAUGCCCAUUAAAUGUGGAGGAUUCCAGUGAUUAGACU